AGGCAGCAGUAGGGAAUAUUGGACAAUGGGCGCAAGCCUGAUCCAGCCAUGCCGCGUGAGUGAAGAAGGCCCUCGGGUUGUAAAGCUCUUUUGUCCGGAAAGAAAAGCAUCGGGUUAAUACCCCGGUGUUCUGACGGUACCGGAAGAAUAAGCACCGGCUAACUUCGUGCCAGCAGCCGCGGUAAUACGAAGGGUGCAAGCGUUACUCGGAAUUACUGGGCGUAAAGCGUGCGUAGGUGGUUUGUUAAGUCUGAUGUGAAAGCCCUGGGCUCAACCUGGGAAUGGCAUUGGAAACUGGCGGACUGGAGUGCGGUAGAGGGAAGGGGAAUUCCCGGUGUAGCAGUGAAAUGCGUAGAGAUCGGGAGGAACACCCGUGGCGAAGGCGGCUACCUGGACCAGCACUGACACUGAGGCACGAAAGCGUGGGGAGCAAACAGGAUUAGAUACCCCGGUAGUCCACGCCCUAAACGAUGCGAACUGGAUGUGGGGUGCAACUUGGCGCUCAGUAUCGAAGCUAACGCGU
RNAcentral lists this ribosomal RNA (523 nucleotides) under uncultured Gammaproteobacteria bacterium. RNAcentral describes it as "bacterial SSU rRNA". It matches the Rfam family "Bacterial small subunit ribosomal RNA", at positions 346 to 860 of the family's 1533-position model. The record is from RNAcentral. Lineage: Bacteria; Pseudomonadati; Pseudomonadota; Gammaproteobacteria.